RNAcentral lists this ribosomal RNA (292 nucleotides) under uncultured Glomeraceae. Its description in RNAcentral is "partial small subunit ribosomal RNA". It matches the Rfam family "Eukaryotic small subunit ribosomal RNA", at positions 569 to 865 of the family's 1831-position model. Lineage: Eukaryota; Fungi; Glomeromycota; Glomeromycetes; Glomerales; Glomeraceae. The record is from RNAcentral.
AGCAGCCGCGGUAAUUCCAGCUCCAAUAGCGUAUAUUAAAGUUGUUGCAGUUAAAAAGCUCGUAGUUGAAUUUCGGGGUCAGUAGGCUGGUCGUGCCACAGGUACGCACUGGUCUCACUGAUUCCUCCUUCCUGAUGAACCGUAAUGCCAUUAAUUUGGUGUUGCGGGGAGACUGGACUGUUACUUUGAAAAAAUUAGAGUGUUUAAAGCAGGCUAACGCUUGAAUACAUUAGCAUGGAAUAAUGAAAUAGGACGUUCGGUCUUAUUUUGUUGGUUUCUAAGAUUGACGUAA